RNAcentral lists this ribosomal RNA (305 nucleotides) under uncultured bacterium. RNAcentral's name for it is "bacterial SSU rRNA". It matches the Rfam family "Bacterial small subunit ribosomal RNA", at positions 335 to 637 of the family's 1533-position model. The record is from RNAcentral.
AAUCCUACGGGAGGCAGCAGUGAGGAAUAUUGGUCAAUGGGCGGAAGCCUGAACCAGCCAAGUCGCGUGAGGGAUUAAGGCCCUAUGGGUCGUAAACCUCUUUUGUCAGGGAGCAAUGGCGUCCACGUGUGGGCGUAUGGAGAGUACCUGAAGAAAAAGCAUCGGCUAACUCCGUGCCAGCAGCCGCGGUAAUACGGAGGAUGCGAGCGUUAUCCGGAUUUAUUGGGUUUAAAGGGUGCGUAGGCGGGCUUUUAAGUCAGCGGUAAAAAUUCGGGGCUCAACCCCGUCCGGCCGUUGAAACUGGG